This 288-nucleotide unclassified non-coding RNA is filed under the name uncultured fungus. Its description in RNAcentral is "partial contains 5.8S rRNA, ITS2 and 28S rRNA". It matches the Rfam family "Eukaryotic large subunit ribosomal RNA", at positions 668 to 961 of the family's 3401-position model. Lineage: Eukaryota; Fungi. The record is from RNAcentral.
AAGGAGUCCAACACAUAUGCGAGUGUUUGGGUGGCAAACCCGAGCGCGAAAUGAAAGUGAAUGUAGGUGGGAUCCUUCGGGUGCACCAUCGACCGGUCUGGAUUCUUUGGAUAGAUCUGAGUAAGAGCGUAUUUGUCGGGACCCGAAAGAUGGUGAACUAUGCCUGAAUAGGGUGAAGUCAGAGGAAACUCUGGUGGAAGCUCGUAGCGGUUCUGACGUGCAAAUCGAUCGUCAAAUUUGGGUAUAGGGGCGAAAGACUAAUCGAACCAUCUUGUAGCUGGUUCCCUC